UUGAUACAUUAACGCGAGCUAUCGGAUAAGAAAACAAUCUAAGGCUGCUUCAAAUCAUGCCUUAAACUAUUUUCUUAUCCGAUAGCUCGCGUUAAUUACUCUCUUAA
This 107-nucleotide small RNA is filed under the name Neochlamydia sp. TUME1. RNAcentral's name for it is "mraW". Lineage: Bacteria; Pseudomonadati; Chlamydiota; Chlamydiia; Parachlamydiales; Parachlamydiaceae. The record is from RNAcentral.